UACGGAGGGUGCAAGCGUUAUCCGGAUUCACUGGGUUUAAAGGGCGCGUAGGAGGGCAGGUAAGUCAGAGGUGAAAUCCCCGAGCUUAACUUGGGAACUGCCGUUGAUACUAUCUGUCUUGAAUAUUGUGGAGGUGAGCGGAAUAUGUCAUGUAGCGGUGAAAUGCUUAGAUAUGACAUAGAACACCAAUUGCGAAGGCAGCUCGCUACACAUAUAUUGACUCUGAGGCACGAAAGCGUGGGGAUCAAACAGG
RNAcentral lists this ribosomal RNA (253 nucleotides) under uncultured bacterium. RNAcentral describes it as "partial 16S ribosomal RNA". It matches the Rfam family "Bacterial small subunit ribosomal RNA", at positions 524 to 776 of the family's 1533-position model. The record is from RNAcentral.